GGCUCAUGAUAAGAUGUUGCAGAAAAGGGAGCAUUCAGGGUUUGGAAGAAACAGAAGCUGCUUCUUGCCCCUGCCCCUAUGCAGUGGUUUAACUGCUGCCCCUGUGUUUUCACCGCAGAGCGUCCACACCAUCCACACAUUCCCGCCGGGACGGCCCGAGGGGGCCCGGGCUCUGCCCGCUGCUACCGACACACGGAGUAGGGGGCGCUGUGGAGUCUGCGCCCUAAACCGCCUUUCGGCCGGUUCCCUGGUUCUGAAGCUCUGCUGCACCCUCCUUUCCAGCGUUACAGGCCUCAGCCCUGACUCGGGCUCUGCGGUGGCCUCAGGGCCUGCUCACCUUUCCAGGCUGUUGGCCUGGUAGUCGGCGUUGUUGGGUCUGCUAAGUUAAUGACGGCUCAUCCGUCCACAUUCCAGCUUCCUUUUUCUUGUUGUUGGGUUUUAUUUUGCUUUGCAUUUUUGCUGCUGUUUCUUCUCCCAUUCACUUGGUCCUUCUGGGUUUAUACCUUUUUAAAAAACCUCUUCAUAUCCAAAAUAAAAAAAAUAAAAAUCCCU
RNAcentral lists this long non-coding RNA (552 nucleotides) under Dasypus novemcinctus (nine-banded armadillo). Its description in RNAcentral is "lncRNA (ENSDNOG00000050254.1)". Lineage: Eukaryota; Metazoa; Chordata; Mammalia; Cingulata; Dasypodidae. The record is from RNAcentral.